RNAcentral lists this ribosomal RNA (474 nucleotides) under uncultured bacterium. Its description in RNAcentral is "bacterial SSU rRNA". It matches the Rfam family "Bacterial small subunit ribosomal RNA", at positions 355 to 825 of the family's 1533-position model. The record is from RNAcentral.
UGGGGAAUAUUGCGCAAUGGACGAAAGUCUGACGCAGCGACGCCGCGUGUGGGAGGAAGCUCUUCGGGGUGUAAACCACUGUCAGGAGGGAAGAACGGCGCCGGUUCGAAUAGUUCCGGCGAUUGGCGGUACCUCCAAAGGAAGCGCCGGCUAACUCCGUGCCAGCAGCCGCGGUAAGACGGAGGGCGCAAGCGUUGUUCGGAAUUACUGGGCGUAAAGCGCGGGCAGGUGGUCUGUUAAGUCGUUUGUGAAAAUCCGGGGCUCAACCCCGCGAAAUGCAUACGAUACUGGCAGACUGGAGACUGGUAGAGGCUAGCGGAAUUCCUGGUGUAGCGGUGGAAUGCGUAGAUAUCAGGAAGAACACCUGUGGCGAAGGCGGCUAGCUGGGCCAGAUCUGACACUCAUCCGCGAAAGCGUGGGGAGCAAACAGGAUUAGAUACCCGUGUAGUCCCUGAGCGGGCUGGCAAGGCGCAU